RNAcentral lists this long non-coding RNA (263 nucleotides) under Trifolium pratense (red clover). RNAcentral describes it as "long non-coding RNA (TPRA_LNC005825)". The record is from RNAcentral. Lineage: Eukaryota; Viridiplantae; Streptophyta; Magnoliopsida; Fabales; Fabaceae.
GAGAAAUGAAAUGAUAUUCAGAAAUUGAUGGGAGUGAGCAUCGAAGUUGAGUUGACACAGAAACUGAAAAAACCCUGACUCGGUUACCGAAUGACUCACUAUAUAUAUCAGAGGAAUCGUUGCAUUACAACUCAGCUCUAUGUGGAGUACUUUACUUAUUAUGUGUCACCGCUCAACUCAUUUAUUUAUUUUUUUAUUUAUUUUCUAAAUAAAAAAUAAUGCAAACGCAUCGUUUCGACCACUUUGCGUGAGUGAGAGUGAGG